This is a long non-coding RNA of Dama dama (fallow deer), 583 nucleotides long. RefSeq lists it as uncharacterized. The transcript has 6 exons. The record is from RefSeq and is a predicted model, not a curated record. Lineage: Eukaryota; Metazoa; Chordata; Mammalia; Artiodactyla; Cervidae.
AGUUUGGUCAGGAAGGCUCUGGGAUUGUCUGCAGCUCUUUUAGCUGAAGAGCAAUUAUAGAAGCCAUUGUGAGCAGUCAUCAGGUGUUGGAAAUGUAGAUUUAAUUUCUCAAUCUCCAUGUUACUGACAAACACAGAAGAAGGAGAAUGGCCGCCAGAAGUCUCCACGAUUUAUGUCCAACGCAUCCAGGAAUUCAAGAGAAGGAAACUCUUGCUAGUGGAGGUCAUUAGCAGCUGCUGAGGGAGGAACUGACCCAUCUCAAAAAGAGAGAUGACUGAGAAGAAUGUGGAAGAUCUGUUCGGGCGCAUAGAAAUGCCAGUUUAAAUCAUGCAGCAAAUUCUGUUAUUUCCACCUAUGGACGUAUGACCUGGAUUGAGUCUAGGACAAGAGCAACAAAUGAGAAUUCCUGUUUUGCCCCAUCUUCACCAGCAUUUGAAGUUGUCAAUGGCCUGGAUUUUGGUCAUUCCAAUAGGACGAAGUUUGAUAACCCACAAAAAGUCUCACCAGUUUUUAGUAUUUACCUUUAUUUGUACAAGCACUGGUGAGUUGAAAACUCCUGGAGGGUAAUUUAAGGAUAUUCGGG